Long non-coding RNA from Daucus carota subsp. sativus, 2212 nucleotides. RefSeq lists it as uncharacterized. The transcript is spliced from 2 exons. NCBI's taxonomy places the organism in Eukaryota, Viridiplantae, Streptophyta, Magnoliopsida, Apiales, Apiaceae. The record is from RefSeq and is a predicted model, not a curated record.
UAAAAUGUAAAGUAGAAAUUCCUCCCUUCAAAAUAUUGUGGCAAUAGUGCACUUGAAGCUGUCAGUGUUCUACAUCAAAAGUCCUGUAUGGCUAUAUCUUAUUCGUCCAAACUCACUUCCCAAUAUUUCAGUUGUCGAAACCUACUUUCCAAAGGUAUAAAUUUACCAGACUCUGAAGACGAAAAAAAUCCCGUGGACAUCUUACCGUAAACAAUUGUACAUUUGAGGGUGAUCUGAGCUCUGGAUCGUUUGCAGAUUUCGCUCCUCUGCUUGAUUUAGAGUUGACCCAAGGAUAUACAGAGAUUUCUAAGAGGUUAAUACAGCUUCAAGAAAGCCAAAUAUGAUUCAACCCCCACAACUUAAGUUGCUUGUGCAGGAUAAAAUCAUGAUGACAAGGGUGAUGAUGAGCAGGGCUACUAGGUCCCAGUGCUCCCAAUGUUUAAUAUGCAAACAAGUUUGAAGGGUGCCUUUCAUGGUCCUAAAACACUCUGAUGGCUGACAACUCCAGAAAUUUUAAGCGACUCUGCACUAGAUAUCAUGUUCACAGUAAGAAAAUAUUAUCAACACUUGCACCUCUUUCUUGGAAUGAAAUCUACUUGUUAUAACUAUUGCAAAGCUUAAGAAGUCGAAUUAUAACCGGUACAUAUUGACAACUAACAGAAGCACGCAAGUUCUACAUAGUGUCCAUAUCAUGUACUGAUAACAUGGCAAAACCAAACUCAAAAAGAAAUAAACAGAACAAUCAAGCAAUCACCGGUUCUUCAAAUAAAACUCAGGCAAAACAUCAAAACUGUGGUGUGCGCCACUGAAGCCGCCUAUUGCUUACUCUCCAACUAUUCAACAACGAUCUCCGCCUCCACCCAUCUCAGAUUCCAGCUCUCGAAUGGUGAAUCCAGAAUAUCUCCACUGCUGCUCGUUCUCUCUAACAUUCAACUUUCUCUCUCUGAAAUCUCUUCUUUCUUUCUCUAACCCACCCUCCUUUUCUUCAUCUUCAAUUAGGCUCUUACAAACAUUUUAGCCCAUUUGUUUGAAUUGAAGGCCGACACCACUUAUGCCCAUUUGAGACGAGUCUGUACAUCAACAUAAACUGCUAUGCUGUUCUACCUGAAGAGCUUAAAGUUUAUAUUUGUAUUGUUGAUGAAUGGAUUAGAAGUUUAUCUGCCCUUUAGUCUUGCCUGUCAUGAAAUUACCCUGCUGGUUUAUCAAGAUCGAACCACCAAUUUGUUUAUGCUAGAAGAGAAAUUCACUGCUAUGUGAUUGGAACUGAAUACACAAAUCAUCAACAGACAUUUGUUCAUGAACAGGAUAUUUAAACAACAAAAGCACCAGAAUGAUGUUCAAAGGAGAUUUAGACAUGUGUUCUCUGCUGUCAAUCUCAAAUCGAAAGCUUGAUCUCAACUACAAACAAGCCUGCUCAUUUAGUUCAGAUGAAAGUUCUAAGGUAGCAACAUAUUCAUCAACAUAUGCAAAAAGCUGUUGAAAAAUUACUAUUACACAAAGAUACAAUACCAAGUUAAGUACUACAAAGAUUCAGAGGCACUCCGAACAACGUUCAAAAGUCUAUGCUAUCCAGAAUGCCCAGCUUGGAUAAUUGUACUUAUACUUUUGGUUGCUAAUAUAUAUAGCUCAAUUACAAGUAUAAUACAUACAUUCCUUGAUGUUUUACAGAUUACAAACAGAUUGUCUCAAAACUCACCCGACUGAGCUGGAAAAACAUUUGCUUCCCAAACUGUUUGGGAGUUGUCAUGCGGCAUGAUCAGUGUACCAACCUGAAGGAACUGCCUCCAUAAAGCAUAUCAUACACGGGCCUUAUUCUUUUAGUCAGUACCAUGCUAAGGAGAGUGCCCAUACCACAAACUCCAGCUAGUACCAAGAAAGUUGUCCUAAAACAAGUAGGUCCAAUGCAAGAUACAGUAUGCUGUUUUGCUGCCUCGCUGUCAUAUAUAUACCCAGCAAGGAAACUUGAAAACAGAAGCGCGCCAAGAGGAUUCCCUAAUGACAUGAAGUUGUAGAAAGUGCCAAAAUUCUUCAGACCAAAAAGUUCGGAGGUAGUUGGGACCAUGAUGGAAAAUUGUACACCAUAGCAGAUUCCAAGCAUUGCAGUUGCAACAUACAAGGUGCCACUCAGUGAAGAAGCGAACAGAAGAUACGUAACGAGCAUUAGAACUUGUGAGAUUGUCAUCCAGAAUGUUCUGGGGACCAUUCUAGACCU